RNAcentral lists this ribosomal RNA (483 nucleotides) under Triticum aestivum (bread wheat). Its description in RNAcentral is "partial small subunit ribosomal RNA". Lineage: Eukaryota; Viridiplantae; Streptophyta; Magnoliopsida; Poales; Poaceae. The record is from RNAcentral.
AUGUUAGAAUUGGUCGGUCCGGGGUCCAAGUUGGUGCAACAAUUUAAACACCAGCAUACACGGAAGUGCAGACAUAUGUCGCCGUGGAAACGAGCGGGUGCCCGGGAAAGUGUUAUCAAUUCUCAUGUCUACGGCAUCUCAAAAAAAAAAACUCAUGUCCAUGGAUCUUUUCGCCUGGUCCAACUGACUAAAGGAGGGAGCAUCAAUAGGCAAAGCCCAUUAGAAACUGACACAGCUCGCUCUUGUCCAUUCCGAGGUGAGGAUCUCGACUCGUGGAACAUGAUGUUAGCCUUGAUUCCAUCGUCCCACCACACCAAGAUGCCCCCCUCCCUGCCGUUUGGGCUUUUCCUCCUCGUCUCCCUCCAUACGAGUCAAAUCAUAAGCUUAGGAAUUAACAUCCUACAAAUACUCCUUCGACUCUUCCUCUUCUCCCACUCUACAAAUAUACCCCUCCCUCUCUCUCACACACACACUCAUAGCUAG